GCGGGACUACGCUUCCCAGGCUGCCCCGGGCGCCUCCCCGCCUUUCGCAGCGUGAGCGCUGCAGGUUGGUGCCUGGCCGCGGUGCAGCGGAGCGGCGGGCGCGGCGGCGAGCGAUGCGCCCCGGGCGGCGCGGGGAGCAUGGCUGUGGAAGCUAUCCAUUGCAGUCUGAAUCCAAGUGGUAUUGAUCAUCCUGUCCACACAGAAGGCAUUAACCUCCCACUUGAAGGUGAAGGAAUCGAGUCACUCUCGCUUAAGAAGGACAGUACCCAGAAGGCGCCUGAAUCUAAAGAGACACCCAAAAGAGAGCAAGCAGAACCAGAAACUUCAAAGACUGGUACUGUGAAACUGACAAAGCCAGUGGCACUCUGGACACAGCAGGAUGUCUGCAAGUGGUUGAAGAAACACUGCCCUAAUCAGUAUCAAAUCUACAGUGAGUCAUUCAAACAGCAUGACAUAACUGGCCGUGCUUUGCUGAGGCUUACUGACAAAAAGCUUGAACGAAUGGGAAUUGGCCAGGAGAGCCUACGGCAGCAUAUUUUGCAGCAAGUUCUUCAGCUGAAAGUUCGAGAAGAAGUCCGAAACCUUCAGUUGCUUACACAAGUGUUAAUGCUUGUGGAGGUUGACAGUCCUGGAGACAAGACUGCACAAUUCACACAGUAAGAACUGCAGGGAUAGCAGCAGUGAAGUUUUCCCUUUGCUACCUGGAGUGACUCACAGCUAAUCUAGAGCUGAGGAGGUAUUUGCAUCUCUGUGCACUAUUAUGGUGGUAAUUUUGCAAGCCCCAACAGAGAGUUCUCCAUAAAUAUUACCAGCCUGUAAAGCUGCUGUCCUGCCAGUUGAACUUUCCUUCAUGAAAUGUGUUACAAAUGGCACUGCCAGAAGAUGACCAUGGAGGAUUGAAAGAUGAACUGAAAUAAAACCAUCCAGUCAAGAUGAUACAUUCUGGAAAGCCCUGGCUUGCUGUGGAAUGAAAAUGUGCAUAAUAUACAGUGCUGAUUUGUUCAGAGUAGUCACUGACAGACCAUUAGCUGGAAACUUACUUCCAGUUUUCAUCACUGUGCAUAACUUUGAGUUCCCACUAGGGAACUAUCUGUGCCCUUCACUGGAAGUCCUGUUUUAGCAUGACAACUACUGGAUUAUUUUAUUAUGUAUGCAGAUGGCAUGAUGUUUUAGGAAAAACUUACAGCAGAUCUCCCAUCUCAGUGGAUAUGUUCACAAUAUUUCACUCCUGAUAGGAAUGUAACCAUGUCUUGUGUAUGUUAGUUAUACAGUCAAACGAUAUUCCAUUUAACUAUAGCAGCACUUCACGUGUGCUCUCCACACAGAAGACUUAGCACGUUCCAUACAUUUAAUAAAAGGUCUUUUUAGAAAAGGUAAAAUAUGUUUCGGUACUUAUGCUGAGACCAUAUCCAAAAUUAAGGCUUCACAGAUUCCUAGUAGAUUGCAAAGAUAUAUUUCUCAUAGCAAAUGUGCCACUCCUUUUAUUGAGACUUACAGAACCACUACUGUGGAAGUAGCCAGGAAUAGGGUAGUUGAACGGGUUAUAGGACAUUGUGUCUAGUCUUCCCUGUUCCCCACCAAAUCCUGAACUCAGCAUUUCUGCUGUGCCAGUGCAUUUCCCAGUGAGUUGUAGGGGAAAGGAUCCUUUCUCAGGCAUGUAUUAUGCCCCCAGUUUUUAUCUACAUUAAGGAUAGAGCCUUCUGUGCAAAUCACUCAUUGUUUUGGGUGGCAUGGUAUAGAGCGCCUGAACUCUUCACAGAGAACAAACCAUGCAAAGUGGAUUAAAUACUCUUAGAGAGUAGGGCUCUCUCUGUAGAGGACAUCCACUUCUAUUAAUAUUUCCCCCUUAUUCAACCCUAAAAACAGUUUUAGUAUGAACUAGGAAUGGGCAAAUGGCUCUAAUAAACUUUUCAAUAUACUGUA
RNA transcript from Alligator mississippiensis (American alligator), 1923 nucleotides. It is a transcript of the gene named sterile alpha motif domain containing 12, with no coding region annotated. Lineage: Eukaryota; Metazoa; Chordata; Crocodylia; Alligatoridae. The transcript is spliced from 6 exons. The record is from RefSeq and is a predicted model, not a curated record.